UGUAUGAUCACCAUAGUACACACACACACUGUAGUGAUCCCAUGGAUUGGCUGCCAGAGAGGAGAGAAUCUUAUGAAGGCACAGACUUCAAUACCAUUUGUGAUAUUCUUCUUCUUAUUAUUCUCACUAUUAUAAAUAGAAUGAGUCAGGCAAGGCAGGCAGGCAAGCAGCAUCUUCUUUUUCUUCCAAUUCAAAGGGUGAGCAAAGAAUAAGUUUGGUGUGGUGGUGGCAGAGUGUGUUGGGUCAGAUGGAAGGAGGGAAGGGAGAGAGAUGAUGCAAUUGAAAAGAAGGGUAAGGAAAUCAGGGAAUUGGUGGACAAGCAUUGCCUGCAUUGACUUAUUGGAAAGAGAGAGAGAGAGAGAGAGAGAGAGAGAGAGGGUGGGAGUUGCCAGGCACUGACUCUAGUGUUAGUAGUAGUAAGUAAAGUAAGUACAUCCCAUGGCAGGCAUAUGGGAAGUGUGGGGAACAAGUCAAGGACAGUGCCCAACACCACACCCCUCUCUCACUCACUGAAGUAGAAGUGUGUGUGUGUGUGUGCGUGUGUGUGGGUGGGUGGGUGAUGCAGAGAUAAUUCAGUCAGACAUCAUCCUC
Molecule: long non-coding RNA, 591 nt
Filed under: Physcomitrium patens
Lineage: Eukaryota; Viridiplantae; Streptophyta; Bryopsida; Funariales; Funariaceae
Description: long non-coding RNA (PPAT_LNC001334)
Source: RNAcentral